UAAUACGAAGGGUGCAAGCGUUACUCGGAAUUACUGGGCGUAAAGCGUGCGUAGGUGGUGAGUUAAGUCUGAUGUGAAAUCCCCGGGCUCAACCUGGGAAUGGCAUUGGAUACUGGCUCGCUAGAGUGCGGUAGAGGGUGGUGGAAUUCCCGGUGUAGCAGUGAAAUGCGUAGAGAUCGGGAGGAACAUCUGUGGCGAAGGCGGCCACCUGGACCAACACUGACACUGAGGCACGAAAGCGUGGGGAGCAAACAGGAUUAGAUACCCUGGUAGUCCACGCCCUAAACGAUGCGAACUGGAUGUUGGGCUCAACUUGGAGCUCAGUAUCGAAGCUAACGCGUUAAGUUCGCCGCCUGGGGAGUACGGUCGCAAGACUG
Molecule: ribosomal RNA, 377 nt
Filed under: uncultured bacterium
Lineage: Bacteria
Description: bacterial SSU rRNA
Rfam family: Bacterial small subunit ribosomal RNA
Source: RNAcentral